AAAGUACUCCCUCCGUUCCAAAAUAGAUGACUCAACUUUGUACUAAAGUUAGUACAAAAUUGAGUCAUCUAUUUUGGAACGGAGGGAGUAGUAA
This is a non-coding RNA of Triticum aestivum (bread wheat), 94 nucleotides long. Lineage: Eukaryota; Viridiplantae; Streptophyta; Magnoliopsida; Poales; Poaceae. The record is from Rfam.